This 945-nucleotide small RNA is filed under the name Histoplasma capsulatum var. duboisii H88. Its description in RNAcentral is "Histoplasma capsulatum H88 hypothetical RNA". The record is from RNAcentral. Lineage: Eukaryota; Fungi; Ascomycota; Eurotiomycetes; Onygenales; Ajellomycetaceae.
UUGCAAUGUGGUCCAGACACACCUUGACGCCCAGGGAGGGCACGAUGGUCGCGAGGUCUGGCAUGGUCUCCAUGCGUGUGUAGAGCUCCAGCACCCAGCCGUAGUCGCGGAUGAGAUCCGCAUACUCGUGGAGCAUGCGCGCUAGUUCCCCUGCGUCCAGCUCUUGCGGAACGGAGACAAGAUUCAGCCUCACCCCUCUGACGCCGAGCUGGUGCCAGGUUGACAGAACGCUGUCACCGCCAUGCUGGCCGGUCUCUUCAUCGAUGGUGGCGGCGUCGAAGCAUACAACGCCGCGAGCACGCCUGGGCCCCAAUUGCCGGAGGCUGUCGAGUAGACAGGAAUUGUCGUAGCCGUAGAUGGAAGGCUGGAUGAGGACGACGUUGUGGAUGCCUGUGGUUCUCGUGAAGGCAAGAGCAUCGGAGAGGGUGUGCGGCUUGCUGGGCUGGUAGUCGGCGGUGGUGGAGAGAGGGUAGCGCGAGGGUUCUUCUACGACAUGUAUGUGGCUGUCCCAGGAGUUUGCGGGGAGUCUUUGGGGCAGAGGAGCCUCCCAGCCUCCUUUCGUUGAUCUGUGUUUGAGAUUGUUACUCUGGCGAAGAUUGCUGCCCAUGAUUCUCGGGGCUCUGGGUUGAAUUCGAAGUGGGGGGAGGAGAGGAGCGGCAUGCCAUAAAGGCUGUAUAGUUGUCAAGGCGGUUGGUUCUCGAACAAAGGGCUGCAAACCCGAGGCUUUUGUGCGACGGAGAUGGUCCCGGUGUUUUAGAAUGUCCCAUGUGAGCCGGUUUAACUACUCCAUGCUAUUAGUAACAAAAUCUAGUGGUCAUGGCGUAGGUUGUUAUACAACGAGUAUCCCAGCAGCAGUGGGGCCUAUGGAGGAGGUCCCUCCAGGGAUUGCCGAAAGAAAAGAACAGCAGCCAAAUGAGCAGUUCUGGUUAUCAGUUGAGAGGUUAU